This 74-nucleotide transfer RNA is filed under the name Candidatus Magasanikiibacteriota bacterium. RNAcentral describes it as "tRNA-Val". It matches the Rfam family "tRNA". From Rfam's summary of the family: Transfer RNA (tRNA) molecules are approximately 80 nucleotides in length. Their secondary structure includes four short double-helical elements and three loops (D, anti-codon, and T loops). Lineage: Bacteria; Candidatus Magasanikiibacteriota. The record is from RNAcentral.
GGACCAAUAGCUCAGUUGGUUAGAGCGUCACAUUGACAUUGUGAAGGUCAGAGGUUCGAAUCCUCUUUGGUCCA